CGGUGUGCCUAAUACAUGCAAGUCGAACGCGUUGGCCUAAUUGAUUGAUGGUGCUUGCACCUGAUUGAUUUUGGUCGCCAACGAGUGGCGGACGGGUGAGUAACACGUAGGUAACCUGCCCAGAAGCGGGGGACAACAUUUGGAAACAGAUGCUAAUACCGCAUAACAGCGUUGUUCGCAUGAACAACGCUUAAAAGAUGGCUUCUCGCUAUCACUUCUGGAUGGACCUGCGGUGCAUUAGCUUGUUGGUGGGGUAACGGCCUACCAAGGCGAUGAUGCAUAGCCGAGUUGAGAGACUGAUCGGCCACAAUGGGACUGAGACACGGCCCAUACUCCUACGGGAGGCAGCAGUAGGGAAUCUUCCACAAUGGGCGCAAGCCUGAUGGAGCAACACCGCGUGAGUGAAGAAGGGUUUCGGCUCGUAAAGCUCUGUUGUUAAAGAAGAACACGUAUGAGAGUAACUGUUCAUACGUUGACGGUAUUUAACCAGAAAGUCACGGCUAACUACGUGCCAGCAGCCGCGGUAAUACGUAGGUGGCAAGCGUUAUCCGGAUUUAUUGGGCGUAAAGAGAGUGCAGGCGGUUUUCUAAGUCUGAUGUGAAAGCCUUCGGCUUAACCGGAGAAGUGCAUCGGAAACUGGAUAACUUGAGUGCAGAAGAGGGUAGUGGAACUCCAUGUGUAGCGGUGGAAUGCGUAGAUAUAUGGAAGAACACCAGUGGCGAAGGCGGCUACCUGGUCUGCAACUGACGCUGAGACUCGAAAGCAUGGGUAGCGAACAGGAUUAGAUACCCUGGUAGUCCAUGCCGUAAACGAUGAGUGCUAGGUGUUGGAGGGUUUCCGCCCUUCAGUGCCGGAGCUAACGCAUUAAGCACUCCGCCUGGGGAGUACGACCGCAAGGUUGAAACUCAAAGGAAUUGACGGGGGCCCGCACAAGCGGUGGAGCAUGUGGUUUAAUUCGAAGCUACGCGAAGAACCUUACCAGGUCUUGACAUCUUGCGCCAACCCUAGAGAUAGGGCGUUUCCUUCGGGAACGCAAUGACAGGUGGUGCAUGGUCGUCGUCAGCUCGUGUCGUGAGAUGUUGGGUUAAGUCCCGCAACGAGCGCAACCCUUGUUACUAGUUGCCAGCAUUAAGUUGGGCACUCUAGUGAGACUGCCGGUGACAAACCGGAGGAAGGUGGGGACGACGUCAGAUCAUCAUGCCCCUUAUGACCUGGGCUACACACGUGCUACAAUGGACGGUACAACGAGUCGCGAACUCGCGAGGGCAAGCAAAUCUCUUAAAACCGUUCUCAGUUCGGACUGCAGGCUGCAACUCGCCUGCACGAAGUCGGAAUCGCUAGUAAUCGCGGAUCAGCAUGCCGCGGUGAAUACGUUCCCGGGCCUUGUACACACCGCCCGUCACACCAUGAGAGUUUGUAACACCCAAAGUCGGUGGGGUAACCUUUUAGGAGCCAGCCGCCUAAGGUGGGACAGAUGAUUAGGGUGAAGUCG
RNAcentral lists this ribosomal RNA (1492 nucleotides) under uncultured organism. RNAcentral describes it as "SSU rRNA". It matches the Rfam family "Bacterial small subunit ribosomal RNA". The record is from RNAcentral.